This 74-nucleotide transfer RNA is filed under the name Prototheca cutis. RNAcentral describes it as "tRNA-Phe". It matches the Rfam family "tRNA". From Rfam's summary of the family: Transfer RNA (tRNA) molecules are approximately 80 nucleotides in length. Their secondary structure includes four short double-helical elements and three loops (D, anti-codon, and T loops). RNAcentral also lists the same sequence under 1 other name. Lineage: Eukaryota; Viridiplantae; Chlorophyta; Trebouxiophyceae; Chlorellales; Chlorellaceae. The record is from RNAcentral.
GCCGAGAUAGCUCAGUUGGUUAGAGCAGAAGACUGAAAAUCUUUGUGUCACCAGUUCAAAUCUGGUUCUUGGCA